RNAcentral lists this ribosomal RNA (229 nucleotides) under uncultured bacterium. RNAcentral's name for it is "partial 16S ribosomal RNA". It matches the Rfam family "Bacterial small subunit ribosomal RNA", at positions 118 to 347 of the family's 1533-position model. The record is from RNAcentral.
UGGGCAACCUGCCCCAGACACUGGGAUAACUCCGGGAAACCGGGGCUAAUACCGGAUACUCUCAGCCGACCGCAUGACCGGCUGAGGAAAGCUCCGGCGGUCUGGGAUGGGCCCGCGGCCUAUCAGCUUGUUGGUGGGGUAACGGCCUACCAAGGCGACGACGGGUAGCUGGUCUGAGAGGAUGGCCAGCCACAUUGGGACUGAGACACGGCCCAGACUCCUACGGGAG